Non-coding RNA from Asaia platycodi SF2.1, 73 nucleotides. NCBI's taxonomy places the organism in Bacteria, Pseudomonadati, Pseudomonadota, Alphaproteobacteria, Acetobacterales, Acetobacteraceae. The record is from Rfam.
GCGGAUGUAGCUCAGUUGGUAGAGCGCCGGUUUGUGGUACCGGUGGUCGCGGGUUCGAGUCCCGUCAUUCGCC